UACGGGAGGCAGCAGUGGGGAAUUUUGCGCAAUGGGCUAACGCCUGACGCAGCAACGCCGCGUGGAGGAUGAAGGUCUUUGGAUUGUAAACUCCUGUCAGCAGGGAAAAAGGGAGGGGACCUAAUACGUCCUUGACUUGAUUGUACCUGCAGAGGAAGCCCCGGCUAACUCUGUGCCAGCAGCCGCGGUAAUACAGAGGGGGCAAGCGUUAUUCGGAAUUAUUGGGCGUAAAGGGCGCGUAGGCGGCUUUGCAAGUGACGGGUGAAAUCCCUCGGCUUAACCGAGGAACUGCCUGUCAGACUGCAUUGCUUGAGUCCGGGAGAGGUGAGUGGAAUUCCCAGUGUAGCGGUGAAAUGCGUAGAUAUUGGGAGGAACACCAGUGGCGAAGGCGGCUCACUGGACCGGAACUGACGCUGAGGCGCGAAAGCGUGGGGAGCAAACAGGAUUAGAUACCCUGGUAG
This 461-nucleotide ribosomal RNA is filed under the name uncultured bacterium. RNAcentral describes it as "bacterial SSU rRNA". It matches the Rfam family "Bacterial small subunit ribosomal RNA", at positions 340 to 793 of the family's 1533-position model. The record is from RNAcentral.